Helianthus annuus (common sunflower) is the source of this 1986-nucleotide long non-coding RNA. RefSeq lists it as uncharacterized. The transcript is spliced from 2 exons. The record is from RefSeq and is a predicted model, not a curated record. NCBI's taxonomy places the organism in Eukaryota, Viridiplantae, Streptophyta, Magnoliopsida, Asterales, Asteraceae.
AAAACACCAUUUUGAAGGUGUUGGUCGUACAGAAGAAGAGCAGGGGCGACUCCCCACUCUCAAACCCUAAAAACUCACUAAACUUGCAAAUUGAAGGCUCAAUCCAAGUCGAAAUCGAAAUUAAAGUGUAGAUUAUUGAUCCUCAUCACAAGAGGAUUACAAGUUUGACGCUUGACAAGCUAGGUGAAGGCUUGGAAAGGAAGCGGGUCAAACGAAGCAAAUAAGAAGGAAAAGCGUACUUCGGAUGCGAGGUAAGUAAAACUUACACCCACUUGUAGUAUAUGUGUUUAUUUCAUAACGAUGAAUACAAUAAAGGAUUUGGUUUGAAUCAUGGGUUCCGACCCAAAACGAAAUGAGUCGGAACCAACAAAAAAAAAUGUUUUAAACCAUGAUAAAUGGUGAAAAAGGCAAAAUGGUAAAUUAGUCACGAACUGGUUAAGAAUUAGUGAGUUUUUCUUAAAGUUACCUUAUAGCGUAACUAGUAAUGGAAAAUGGGUAAAAAUGGGAAUUUAGUCAAGUAUCGACUAAAGUAAAAUAAGUUUCAAAGGACACCCAUAGCGUGAGCCGAAUGGGUUUAAAAAAAUAAUAAAUAUAUAUAUAUAUAUAUAUAUAUAUAUAUAUAAGAAAUUGACUUUAGAAAGAAAGGGAUCUAGUGAGAAAAUCCGAAAUGGGUCGGAUAUGUGUUUGGUAAUUAAAAACCCAUGUUUUGUUACAUAUGAAAAUGUUGGGUUAUAUAGGUCGAACGGGUCAAAUGGUGGGAAUAACGCCAUUUGACAAUAUCAACUAAUGUGGUUGUCAAGUCAUGUGUUUUCAGGGGCGAAUAGUAACUUGGGUAAUUGCGUCGCCAUAAGAAUAUCGAUAAUAAAAGCAAGGAGUCGAAACGGGUCAUUAGGUUGACUCGAGCCAGGUAUGUAUAAAUAAGAUUGUGGUUAAACAUAUAUUUUUUUUUGGGUCAAAUUAGUAGCAAAUGCCCUUCGUCGUAAAUGAGGGGCUAAAGUCGACUAAAAUACCCUUGAUGGGUAAAUCGGGCAAACGACCUUUAAAGGUUGUUGGAAAUAAGUGAUUUGAUAGAUUAAAUUCUUAGGAUAAGUAUAAAAGGGAUGAUAUGGGAUCUUAGUGCAUAAAUACCCUUAACGGGUCAAAAUAGAAGUAAUAGCGAAACGGGUUAAAAAUGUGUAGUAACCCGUAAAUUGAACCUUGUACAAUAGGAAAUAACCAUAAUAAAAUGUUUACAAAAGAAACAAAGGCCACGAACGAGUUUGUUAGAGGAAACCGUGAACGGGUCAAAAGUGUCGUAAUUGGACUUCAAGCCGAGAGCUUGAAGUAUAAAAUUUCAUGAAGUGAGAUGUUAGAUUUCAACUCCAUUCGAUGGAGAAUUAAAUUACGAGUGCGUAGGAGAAAGAAUCGUGUAAAAAGGACAAGCGGAUUGAAAGAUACGAAAGUUUUGUGUCAAAUAGCGGCAAAAAAAAAAUGGAAAGGUUGGAUGCAGGUGCCACUGUAACUUACGGUGCCACCGUAAGUUACGGUGGAGCUGAAUUGGUUACGGUGCUAGCCUACUGAUGUACGGUAGGGAAAUGUUAACACAGGGGCCACCGUAACUUACGGUGUCACUGUAAGUUACGGUGGAGGCCAGAAAUGAGUUAUUGUGUUGGGAUCAAGAUAUAAAUGUUGGAUUUUCCUAAUUUCCUCGUUGUAUUAGUUAUUUAAUUAUCAAAACUGACCUUUAAGUUGGUUUUGAUCACAGGUGAAUGUCGAGAGUCCCGGAUGAAGAUCAAGCAUCGAGCAAGAACCGAACACACGUUAAACAAAGCUUCCGCAACGUUGUUUUGUCGUUAUUCUAAACGGCGAAUUAAAUCACAUUAUGUAUAUCACUUAAAUUGUAAAAGUUUUUAACAACCCGUAUUUCCGAUGUAUAUGUAAUCAUUAAUUACAUGAUUAUUUCGCUAAAUAUACGUUAAACCUUGAUUUAUAAGAACGGGUGUUACA